Long non-coding RNA from Lotus japonicus, 1523 nucleotides. RefSeq lists it as uncharacterized. The transcript is spliced from 3 exons. The record is from RefSeq and is a predicted model, not a curated record. NCBI's taxonomy places the organism in Eukaryota, Viridiplantae, Streptophyta, Magnoliopsida, Fabales, Fabaceae.
UAAGGCACGAUGGAAACUAAUUCCAAAAAUCUUCAGAGAAAUGUUAGAACUUCUCUUAUUCGUCUAUAAACGAGCGUUUCGAUAUGGAACCCUGGAAUGUACGAACGACAAAUUCCAAUACUCGGAAGUUUGCCGAAACCGAAACCCUGAUAGUUCAGAAACCCUAGAAUCAACGGACGAUGAAGACUUUUUCUGUUCGGAGCUUCAAACGAAGAUUCCACACGCGUAGACCCAUUUCUUUCGAUGAUUCCAAUCUUUCUUCAGAAGGAAGUUUCUUCAUCCGACGUCAAACGCAAAAAGUAGUUUUGCGGCAUAUUUCAACCCAUACUACGUUCAAGCUAUUUUCUCACUUAAAUGAACCAGGAACAAGUAUCGACAUUUUAUAGAGAGAUACUUAACUCUGAUGCAUAAUAUGACAACUUCAUAUUUAUUCUGAUCGUCUCACAAAUAUUAUUUAGCUCAGUUUUUACUCAUUUCUUUGUCCAUGGAUCAUUUUAAUUUGCUCAAAGUGAUCCAAACUUAUAUUUCAUUAUUUCAUAGAGUCUCUCAUAAUUUUUGGUAUAGUAAUAUAUCAACUCUAUAUUUUUCUCUUAACUUUGUGAGCUAAAUUCUUCAGUGUCUAAAUCAAUUCGUACCGGUUUUAUAAAUAUCUUCCCUAAAUAUCUAAUAAUCCAUCCUCAUCCUCUGUGACUCACGUUCACUCCCUCCUUUUCUUUCAUUUGUCACGUUUCUUUCUUUCUCUUGCAGCAGACCAUAAUCUUUCUUUCUUAUUCUUCUUCUUCUCUAUUUCUAUAUAUAUAUAUCUUACCACUUGUUGCAACUCACGUUCUCUCUCUCAGAAGCAUCACCACCAGACUUCAAUAUUUAUUCAUUUCCUUUCUUUUUAUUUCUUUUGCUGCAGCUCCCCAAUUCUUUCCACUUAUUCUUCCUCUCUUUUCUUUCCCCUGGGCAGCAUAAAAAAACGCACAUCAUGGUCCCUUUUCCUCCCUCACGUGAUUCCACUCUUGUGCAGCACCAUCAUCUUCAUCUUCCAAUUUUAUGGGUACGAAGGACGAAAACGCCUUGCGACGAAGCUAAAGAAUAGAAGGAAGCGAGCCGACGCGGAAAACAAAGAUGUGAUAGGAUUGGAGUUGCAGUUUAGGAAGAAAAUUGGCUAAGAUGUCGUCGAUGGAUUCUUUCGUGAUUCUUCGUCAUUCGGGGAAGACCCGGAGCGAAAUGACUACUACUGAGCCUUUGACGUGGACCCGGACUUCAUGCAUGACCAGAGGGGAGUCGAUGAUGGAAGUAUGGGGGAUGGGUGAUUAGGGUCUAUUAAGGUUGGGUGUUAGUGUCCUAGCUCUGACUUAUUCUUAUUUUUGAGGGCUUGUGUUGCUGACACUUGACCUAACAUUUUGGGAUUGUACAUUUUGCCUACGGGCGUUACACUUUUCUACUUUCCGUCAUUGGAGGUUACUCAUGACGAGGUCGCUAUUUACAGCGGGGGAUGCUAUAUAUAUUGUAUAUUAGUUCUGUUGCCUUUCGCA